Molecule: non-coding RNA, 456 nt
Organism: Chionomys nivalis (European snow vole)
Lineage: Eukaryota; Metazoa; Chordata; Mammalia; Rodentia; Cricetidae
Source: the annotation of a RefSeq genome assembly
GUCAGCACUGAACACGGGCCACUUACCAUGGACUUGGGGUUCAUACUGGUUUUCUUUGUCCUUAUUUUAAAAGGUGGCCAGUGUGAGGUGCAGUUGCUGGAGUCUGGGGGAGACUUAGUGCAGCCUGGAAAGUCCCUGAAACUCUCCUGUGCAGCCUCUGGAUUCACCUUUAGUAGUUAUGCAAUGGGCUGGGUCCGCCAGGCUCCCGGGAAGGGGUUGGAGUGGGUCGCAUACAUUAGCAGUGGUGGUGGUAGCACCUGGUAUAUCGACGCUGUGAAGGGCCGGUUCACAAUCUCCAGAGACAAUGCCAAGAACACUCUGUACCUGGAAAUGAGCGGACUGAGGUCUGAAGACACAGCUAUGUAUUACUGUGCAAGAAACACAAUGAGUGAAUGUUACUGUGAACUCAGACAAAAACAUGCCUGUGGGGAACACGGGACCAGCAGGGGGCGCUGA